UGAGUAACACGUGAGCAAUCUGCCUUUCANAGGGGGAUACCGAUUGGAAACGAUCGUUAAUACCGCAUAAUAUAAUUGAACCGCAUGAUUUGAUUAUCAAAGAUUUAUCGCUGAAAGAUGAGCUCGCGUCUGAUUAGCUAGUUGGUAAGGUAACGGCUUACCAAGGCGACGAUCAGUAGCCGGACUGAGAGGUUGAUCGGCCACAUUGGGACUGANACACGGCCCANACUCCUACGGGAAGCAGCAGUGGGGAAUAUUGCACAAUGGAGGAAACUCUGAUGCAGCGAUGCCGCGUGAGGGAAGAAGGUUUUAGGAUUGUAAACCUCUGUCUUCAGGGACGAAAAAAGACGGUACCUGAGGAGGAAGCUCCGGCUAACUACGUGCCAGCAGCCGCGGUAAUACGUAGGGAGCGAGCGUUGUCCGGAAUUACUGGGUGUAAAGGGAGCGUAGGCGGGAUCGCAAGUCAGAUGUGAAAACUAUGGGCUUAACCCAUAAACUGCAUUUGAAACUGUGGUUCUUGAGUGAAGUAGAGGUAAGCGGAAUUCCUAGUGUAGCGGUGAAAUGCGUAGAUAUUAGGAGGAACAUCAGUGGCGAAGGCGGCUUACUGGGCUUUAACUGACGCU
This 623-nucleotide ribosomal RNA is filed under the name uncultured bacterium. Its description in RNAcentral is "bacterial SSU rRNA". It matches the Rfam family "Bacterial small subunit ribosomal RNA", at positions 107 to 747 of the family's 1533-position model. The record is from RNAcentral.